This 819-nucleotide long non-coding RNA is filed under the name Numida meleagris (helmeted guineafowl). Its description in RNAcentral is "lncRNA (ENSNMEG00000021542.1)". Lineage: Eukaryota; Metazoa; Chordata; Aves; Galliformes; Numididae. The record is from RNAcentral.
GUUGCUUUGUGUCAGAUGCUUGUCCAACAGCAAUGACUCUGUGCUCCCCAUAUGCCUCCCUUCAGCAUGAGUUUCCUUACUGCGUGCUCAGGGACUUGCUCUGCACUAACAGGAAGGACUGAUCCUCUGCCCAGUUCUGGUCAAUCUGCAGGUGCAUACUCAGGCAUCUUUGCAGCACUGAAUACGUGGAGUGCAGCACAACUUUGGCUUGUGCUCAGAAUCCCUGGCCAUCGGCAGAAGACACGCAUAAUUUGGAAGCACUUUCUUAAAAACUCACAUUUAAAUGCGUCGGCCUGGAAGCAUCCAAUGAGCUUAGAAGCUGUGGCUGAGGAGGAUGGAUGUGCACGCAUGAGGCUGGGAACUCAGCAGUCUCAUUCCCUUUGGAAAACUGGCUGCAACCAGAAGGCUAGGGAAGAUGGGAGAAAAAUCUGCCUUGAAAACAAAUGAUAUGCCGUGUCUUUGGAACCACACAGAAAACACAGCGAGCAAGUGCCAUGCCUGGUGAUACAGGUGUGAAAUAGUGCUAGAGGAAUACGUGAAGCUGUUAGUGUGCAACUUGAGCUCAUUUUCUGUGUAAGGACAACAGUAAGAGGAUCGCCCACUGGUACAGCUGCUGGGAAGAGGCGAUGAGCUACUGCAGAAUAAGCUGCAGUGGUGUAGCGUUAAGUCAGAUCUGCUCUGAACAGGGCCAGGUAGCACUGCACCACAAGCUAAAGGAGCCCUAUCUACACUAGGAUUCAUCCUUUGUACUGUUGUUAGCAACAGAAAGUUUUUGCUGGAAAAAAUAAAAUCAACAAAGGCACCUUCUAGAAUUGUAUC